UACAGGGGGUGCAAACGUUGCUCGGAAUUACUGGGCGUAAAGCGCGUGUAGGCAGCUUGGCAAGUCGGGUGUGAAAGCCCUGGGCUCAACCUAGGAAGUGCACUCGAAACUGCUUCGCUUGAGUAUCGGAGAGGAAAGCGGAAUUCUCGGUGUAGAGGUGAAAUUCGUAGAUAUCGAGAGGAACACCAGUGGCGAAGGCGGCUCACUGGACCGGUUCUGACGCUGAGGCGCGCAAGCGUGGGGAGCAAACGGG
This 253-nucleotide ribosomal RNA is filed under the name uncultured bacterium. RNAcentral's name for it is "partial 16S ribosomal RNA". It matches the Rfam family "Bacterial small subunit ribosomal RNA", at positions 524 to 776 of the family's 1533-position model. The record is from RNAcentral.